GCGAAGGUGGCGGAAUUGGUAGACGCCUAGCUUCAGGUGUUAGUGUCCUUACGGACGUGGGGGUUCAAGUCCCCCCCCUCGCACCA
RNAcentral lists this transfer RNA (86 nucleotides) under Enterobacter hormaechei. RNAcentral's name for it is "tRNA-Ser(cag)". It matches the Rfam family "tRNA". Rfam says of the family: Transfer RNA (tRNA) molecules are approximately 80 nucleotides in length. Lineage: Bacteria; Pseudomonadati; Pseudomonadota; Gammaproteobacteria; Enterobacterales; Enterobacteriaceae. The record is from RNAcentral.